Molecule: long non-coding RNA, 2469 nt
Filed under: Homo sapiens (human)
Lineage: Eukaryota; Metazoa; Chordata; Mammalia; Primates; Hominidae
Description: HSALNT0019159
Source: RNAcentral
GAUGAUCUCGAUCUCUUGGCCUUGUGAACCACCCGCCUCAGCCUUCCAAAGUGCUAGGAUUACAGGCAUGAGCCACCGUGCCCAGCCCAGCUAUCCAUUUUUAUUAGCAAUGUGACUAAUACUAAGGAGUUCAAAACUGUAGGCACAGUGAACAAGACAGGAGUCAAUUGCAAUAACAAAACAAGCGAAGUAGAAAUCAUUUUUAAAAACAAGAGACUAUUUAUUAUUUAUAUUAAAAAUGUUGGUUGAAGAAACAUAUGUUUUUCUCCAGUAUAAAAAAUUAAUACAGGCUACAACUCGGAAUAAUUUUGCCACUUGAGCACAUAUCUUCUACCACUGAAAUAUCUGUAUCAUUAAAGCACAGAGAUUUGCCAGACAUUACAAGAUAAGUAAGUGUCAAAACGAAGAAUCAAACAGAAACUCAGCUAGCAUUCCUGGACUUUCUAACUUCUGGAUCAUACUUACAUGUGUUUUAUGAACAAUUAACCCUAUUUAAGGAUAUCUUCAUUAAACAACUGCAAGGUAUUCUUCCUGUAAUUUUUUUUAAAUGUGGUUUUCAAAAGAAUAUAAUAAAAGAAAAAGCAAAAAAUGCUAUAUGUACUAUCUCUAUUAAUCAACUGAUUAAUUAUUUGAAAAUCUAGUAAUUGAUUUUUCAGACUCAUUCCAAAAACAAUCCCCUAGUUAUAUACAAGACAUAAUUCAUAUGUAACAUGAUAUGUCCUUUAAACUUUGUUAAAGGGUUGUCAAUAAUAAAAUGAUAUAAAUUCUUAUCACCUUUAAGAACAAUGACUCUAAAGUCUCAAGUGAGAAGAAAUAUAUAAAGUUUAUUUUCUGGAAACUGUUUGCUUAUUAGUAUUAUGUAGAAGUUUGAAUUUUGCUUUCGCGCUUACAAGCAAACAAUACUGUAGUCUUUACCGUUUACAUAAUGAUAUCAGCAUAAGUUUCAAAGAAAAAAAUUACUUUCAAAUAUACAAACUAUUUUUACUUUCAAAUUGCUAAUUUUAGUUUUUAAGAGUAUUUAUAGACUUAAAUUGAGUAUAUAUUAGCAGAAAGUUUAUAUUUCAUAUUGACAAUUUAUUGGUCAAUAACUUAAAAAUUCUUAUCUUUCACUAUGAGGAAAUAGAAAGAAUGUCAAAAUCUUUGAAGAUUACCAGAGAUUUUAAGUACAUGUCUUCCAUAUAAGCAGUAACUUUGUUUCAAGUUACCUUUAAGCACUAUUUUUGGUUAAUAAAAUAAGUAGGUCAGGCCUGGUGGCUCAUGCCUGUAAUCCCAACACUUUGGGAGGCCGAAGCGAGCAGAUCACUAGGUCAGAGGUUUGAGACCAGCCUGGCCAACAUGGUGAAACCCCAUCCCUAUUACAAAUACAAAAAUUAGCUGGGCAUGGUGGUGGGCGCCUGCAAGCCCAGCUACUCGGGAGGCCGAAGCAGGAGAAUCCUUGAACCCGGGAGGCAGUUGGCUGCGGUGAGCUGAGAUGGCGCCACUGCACUCUGCUCUGGGCAACAGAGUGAGACUCCGUCUCAAAAAAAAAAAAAAAAAAAAAAAAAAAAAAAAGAAAAGAAAGAAAAAGAAAAGCUUAAUUUCUGGAAAAAUAAAAACGAACUCCAGGAACCUAAUAUCUUUCCAUGUUACUUCCACAGUUUGGUAGAGUAAAUAGAAAGCUCUUUUCUUUUUGAGAUUUAGAAAUAUUACUUUAUAAAAAUUAUAUUUAGAAUGCUCCAAUAAGUUUUUUUGGUUUACAUUUGAUAAUUCUUUAGGUGUAUAUAAUUUCACAUUCUUAAAUAUUUUGAAUAGUUCUAGAUAUUUAUUUAUACUUGUUAAAUACUAUAACACAUUGUGACUAAAUAUAUUUCUUAUAAUUCAUUCAUUAUGUAAUUCAGAUAUUCCAGUUUCCAGUUUAAAGUGGACAUAUUUUUAUAACUAUUACAUAAGUAAAUGAUAUUGAGAAAUAUAUGUGAAAACUCAUUACUUUUACACACUGUGAUAUCUUUCUCUAAAGUCUCAUUUGGGGUGCUUUGUGAAAAGGUUUCUGUUUUGUGUUAUUUAGAUGAUGAAAUAAAUAUCUUCUAUAAAGUUAUACAUUUUUAUUUUUAUUUUUUAUAAUUUCAUGCAAGUGUUCACUCUUUUCUAAUAAAACAUUUCUUAGAAAGAAAGCUAUCCAUUUUAGGGGGAGACUUUAUUGUUAUUCCAUAAUUGAUUGGAGUCUAUAAGUUUAUGUUUACACCUUUUGCAUAUUUAUUUUUUCAAUUUUAUAUAGUUAUAAAAAUAUUAUGAAACAAAAUUUGAGGAUGGAAACUUAUAAUUUUAUACCUUUUUAAAUUGCCAGGUAAUAUAAUUCUUCUGUGGCAAACUAAUAAUUUUCGAGUAAGUUUGUGACACAGAUGAGACGAAUUUCUCUUUCUAGGUAAACAAUGAAACAUUAAUUUGCUAUCUCUCCUUGAAACUCUGCUUUUAAUAUCUUAAAAUCCCUUG